Caenorhabditis elegans is the source of this 300-nucleotide non-coding RNA. Lineage: Eukaryota; Metazoa; Nematoda; Chromadorea; Rhabditida; Rhabditidae. The record is from Ensembl.
CCUGAAGUUUUGAAACGUUUAGCGCUACUGAGAGCCGAGAUACACACACUUGAAAUCCCCAGUCGACCGCGACGCGACCGCGCCGCUCGCUGCCGGCUUUGAGCGCGUAUACCUCAGUUCAAACUUGACUGAUUCAAUUGAAAUUUUUUUACAAGACAAAUGAACACAUAAUACACAUUUUUGCAAAAAUUAUGAAUUUAUAUACUGACCGCGACGCGACAGCGCCGCACGAACUUAUUUUCAAGCACUGAAAACUCCCAAAACCAAAAGUCAAAAAAGAUUCUCCCCGGCCGGGAAUUG